Thamnophis sirtalis is the source of this 978-nucleotide non-coding RNA. NCBI's taxonomy places the organism in Eukaryota, Metazoa, Chordata, Lepidosauria, Squamata, Natricidae. The record is from RefSeq and is a predicted model, not a curated record.
ACAGUCAAGCAUUCCAGAAGAUGAGUUCAAACUACAUUUAGUAAGAUAGUGCAACUGUUGCAGUGUUUAAAAUCUCAGAAAAUUUCUGAAAGGAAGUCAAAAGAUGCAAUGACCUUAGCAACAUAGAUUGUCAAUAUUAAUUUCCCAAAGUGAUCUUUUAAUAUAUCCAGUUCAUGUCCCAACAAUACAUUUCAUUCCUUUCAUGUACAGGGACUAAAUAGUCUCAUUAUUUCUUUCUUUUCCUUCAUCUAGCCAAUUGUCCCUAUGUUUACACAAAAUACUAGAAAAGCAUAUGUAACAUAUGGAAAUAUAAGGCAAUAAAGGCUUUACGCGAAAAACACCAGGAAAUCUCAGGAAACAUUUGCAUGCUCUUAGGCAAUGCUUUGAGACUCAUAACAAAGAAAAACAGUGAUAUAACAACAAUUAUCUGUGUACAAAAUAUAUAUAUGUUUAGAUAUUAUAUGUGUAGUUUUCUCUGAGGCAUUUUGUUAAAAUAAAUGAAGGGGGAAGAUUGAGAUGGGAAAGAAUAUUGGUUAAUUUCAAUGUGUUUAAAUUCCCAACAUCAGAAUAAAUUUCAUUUGAAAAUAUCAAAGCAUUAUAUGAUGAUCAUUCCACCCUCUUAUGAAUUAUGUUCGAAUAAUCCUUGUCACGUCACACUUGUUGAAGAAGUUAGUUGAAGAGAUCACUAUUGGCCAGGGGACACCCAGUUGGGGGCACCUUCAUGUUCCUGCUCUCAAAUGCAGGUUUGCUAACCUCCAAUCCAGUGUCCUAACCAUGAUAACCAGUAUUUUCCAAGAAAUCCCAGUGAACUGCAAGUGACUUGAUGAGAUCUACUGUUAUUCCGAUUUUCAAAAAGGAAGAAAAGGAAAAUACAAGAAAUAUAAACCAGUCACUCUGACUUCCAUACUCAGGAAUUUUUAGACUACAUACUAUAUUGUAAUCAUGAAGAGAUUUAUCAUUAAAAAUAACUACAAGAAA